UGAAGCUUCACAACUUACAGCAGGGAGAAGCAGGCGAGGCUGCCAAGGGUCACGGAAGGAUGGUGGCUCCAUCCAUCUCAGCAGCUUCCAGAGUAGCUCGUGGAAAGCUACAGCAUCACACCCUCGACUGCAGCAUCCACAACCACUGGGUACAAAGCAGCCUCAUGGUUGCCAACAGACUGAAGCACAAAAGCCUGAUUGUAGGAAAUGCACAGCCAGGUGGUGAAAACAUCAUUUUGGGAUGGAGUCCUGACCUGUGAUAUGUGGUGUGAAGCAGCCACAUCUUCUCAGCAGGAGAUUGUGUUUGACUCAUCCCCAUUCCUUUGGCUCAGGGAGGAGACACUCCCCUCCUGGCUCCUCCUGUAUCCCGCAUGGCAUC
This 379-nucleotide long non-coding RNA is filed under the name Parus major (Great Tit). RNAcentral describes it as "lncRNA (ENSPMJG00000014207.1)". The record is from RNAcentral. Lineage: Eukaryota; Metazoa; Chordata; Aves; Passeriformes; Paridae.